AGACCGAUAGCGAACAAGUACCGUGAGGGAAAGAUGAAAAGCACUUUGGAAAGAGAGUUAACAGUACGUGAAAUUGUUGGAAGGGAAACGCUUGAAGUCAGACUUGCUUGCCGGACUUGUUCGGUUUGCAGGCCAGCAUCAGUUUUCUGGGGUGGAUAAUGGCGGUUUGAAGGUAGCAGCUUCGGCUGUGUUAUAGCUUUCCGCUGGAUACAUCCUGGGGGACUGAGGAACGCAGCGUGCUUUUUGCGAAGGUUUCGACCUUUUCACGCUUAGGAUGCUGGUGGAAUGACUUUAAACGACCCGUCUUGAAACACGGAC
Molecule: ribosomal RNA, 318 nt
Filed under: Rhodotorula sp. IOC-8
Lineage: Eukaryota; Fungi; Basidiomycota; Microbotryomycetes; Sporidiobolales; Sporidiobolaceae
Description: LSU rRNA
Rfam family: Eukaryotic large subunit ribosomal RNA
Source: RNAcentral